GACGAACGCUGGCGGCGUGCUUUACACAUGCAAGUCGAACGGUAAGGCCCUUCGGGGUACACGAGUGGCGAACGGGUGAGUAACACGUGGGUGAUCUGCCCUGCACUUCGGGAUAAGCCUGGGAAACUGGGUCUAAUACCGGAUAGGACCACUGCCUGCAUGGGUGGUGGUGGAAAGCUUUUGCGGUGUGGGAUGGGCCCGCGGCCUAUCAGCUUGUUGGUGGGGUGAUGGCCUACCAAGGCGACGACGGGUAGCCGGCCUGAGAGGGUGACCGGCCACACUGGGACUGGGAUACGGCCCAGACUCCUACGGGAGGCAGCAGUGGGGAAUAUUGCACAAUGGGCGCAAGCCUGAUGCAGCGACGCCGCGUGAGGGAUGACGGCCUUCGGGUUGUAAACCUCUUUCAGCACCGACGAAGCGCAAGUGACGGUAGGUGCAGAAGAAGGACCGGCCAACUACGUGCCAGCCGCCGCCGCGG
RNAcentral lists this ribosomal RNA (478 nucleotides) under uncultured bacterium. Its description in RNAcentral is "partial 16S ribosomal RNA". It matches the Rfam family "Bacterial small subunit ribosomal RNA", at positions 28 to 523 of the family's 1533-position model. The record is from RNAcentral.